Molecule: long non-coding RNA, 6124 nt
Filed under: Salmo salar (Atlantic salmon)
Lineage: Eukaryota; Metazoa; Chordata; Actinopteri; Salmoniformes; Salmonidae
Description: lncRNA (ENSSSAG00000086231.1)
Source: RNAcentral
AUUAGAUAGAGGGACACAGAGACAGAAUGAGACAGACAGAGAGAAACACAUUAGAUAGAGGGACACAGAGAUGGAAUGAGACAGACAGAGAAAAACGAGGUGUCCUUCCAAUUGUCUGCCUGUCCAUCUGUCAGUGGACCGUCCCCAGUAACUAUUAAAACUCACAGGAGCGUGCUACAGAACAGGAGCGUGAUACAGUACAGGAGCGUGCUACAGAACAGGAGCGGGCUACAGGACAGGAGCGUGCUACAGUACAGGAGCGUGCUACAGAACAGGAGCGUGCUACAGAACAGGAGCGUGCUACAGAACAGGAGCGUGCUACAGUACAAGAGCGUGCUACAGUACAAGAGCGUGCUACAGAACAGGAGCGUGCUACAGAACAGGAGCGUGCUACAGUAAAGAGUGUGCUACAGUACAAGAGCGUGCUACAGAACAGGAGCGUGCUACAGGACAGGAGCGUGCUACAGGACAGGAGCGUGCUACAGAACAGGAGCGUGCUACAGGACAGGAGCGUGCUACAGAACAGGAGCGUGCUACAGAACAGGAGCGUGCUACAGUACAGGAGCGUGCUACAGUACAGGAGCGUGCUACAGAACAGGAGCGUGCUACAGUACAGGAGCGUGCUACAGAACAGGAGCGUGCUACAGUACAGGAGCGUGCUACAGAACAGGAGCGUGCUACAGGACAGAAGCGUGCUACAGAACAGAAACGUGCUACAGGACAAGAGCGUGCUACAGUAAAGAGCGUGCUACAGAACAGGAGCGUGCUACAGAACAGGAGCGUGCUACAGGACAGGAGCGUGCUACAGGACAGGAGCGUACUACAGAACGGUAGCGUGCUACAGUACAGGAGAGUGCUACAGAACAGGAGCGUGCUACAGAACAGGAGCGUGCUUCAGAACAGGAGCGUGCUACAGUACAGGAGCGUGCUACAGAACAGGAGCGUGCUACAGUAAAGAGUGUGCUACAGUACAGGAGCGUGCUACAGUACAGGAGCGUGCUACAGUACAGGAGCGUGCUACAGAACAGGAGCGUGCUACAGAACAGGAGCGUGCUACAGUAAAGAGUGUGCUACAGUAAAGAGUGUGCUACAGUACAGGAGCGUACUACAGAACAGGAGCGUGCUACAGUACAGGAGCGUGCUACAGGACAGGAGCGUGCUACAGGACGGGAGCGUGCUACAGAACGGGAGCGUGCUACAGAACGGGAGCGUGCUACAGAACGGGAGCGUGCUACAGAACGGGAGCGUGCUACAGUACAGGCGCGUGCUACAGAACAGGAGCGUGCUACAGAACAGGCGCGUGCUACAGAACAGGAGCGUGCUACAGAACAGGAGCGUGCUACAGAACAGGCGCGUGCUACAGAACAGGAGCGUGCUACAGAACAGGAGCGUGCUACAGGACAGGAGCGUGCUACAGUACAAGAGCCUGCUACAGAACAGGAGCGUGCUACAGGACAGGAGCGUGCUACAGGACAGGAGCGUGCUACAGAACAGGAGCGUGCUACAGUAAAGAGUGUGCUACAGAACAGGAGCGUGCUACAGAACAGGAGCGUGCUACAGGACAGGAGCGUGCUACAGGACAGGAGCGUGCUACAGAACAGGAGCGUGCUACAGAACAGGAGCGUGCUACAGGACAGGAGCGUGCUACAGAACAGGAGCGUGCUACAGAACAGGAGCGUGCUACAGUACAGGAGCGUGCUACAGAACAGGAGCGUGCUACAGUACAGGAGCGUGCUACAGAACAGGAGCGUGCUACAGGACAGAAGCGUGCUACAGAACAGAAACGUGCUACAGGACAAGAGCGUGCUACAGUAAAGAGCGUGCUACAGAACAGGAGCGUGCUACAGAACAGGAGCGUGCUACAGAACAGGAGCGUGCUACAGGACAGGAGCGUACUACAGAACGGUAGCGUGCUACAGUACAGGAGCGUGCUACAGAACAGGAGCGUGCUACAGAACAGGAGCGUGCUUCAGAACAGGAGCGUGCUACAGUACAGGAGCGUGCUACAGAACAGGAGCGUGCUACAGUAAAGAGUGUGCUACAGUAAAGGAGCGUGCUACAGUACAGGAGCGUGCUACAGUACAGGAGCGUGCUACAGAACAGGAGCGUGCUACAGAACAGGAGCGUGCUACAGUAAAGAGUGUGCUACAGUAAAGAGUGUGCUACAGUACAGGAGCGUACUACAGAACAGGAGCGUGCUACAGUACAGGAGCGUGCUACAGGACAGGAGCGUGCUACAGGACAGGAGCGUGCUACAGAACAGGAGCGUGCUACAGAACAGGAGCGUGCUACAGAACAGGAGCGUGCUACAGAAUAGGAGCGUGCUACAGGGGCUCAAGGCCACUCUGGGGGCCAUGAGGGACUCUGGGACUCUCCAGUUGCAGGCCAGCAGACUGGCUGGCACCCCAAAAGAAGCUUCUUCAUCCUGAACACAGCUGUUGUCUCCGUGACGACACGAGCAGCCAAUGGGGAGCGAGGCCGAAGAUAUGGGGGCGGGGGUGGCGUACGUGUGUGUGUGUGGCGAGAGUUUGCGAGGCCGGGCACCAGCAGUGUUACUGGGUCCAGUUGGCUUGGGACAGUAAACACCAUUCCUGUACUACAGCCCGGCUAGCUGUGGAGGGAGAAAGGCAGCCUGGUGUUCAAACAAUAACACGUUAUACAUUGUGACACCUCCACCUCACAGGAACACACACUGUGUGGAGUGUAGGCCUGUUUUCACUGUUCAUCCUGCACAACCUGAUCUGAAGAUAAUGCAAAGAUACCACUUCAGCUGUUGUCUAGAUGGAAACCAUUAAUUAUUUAGACCAAUCUGCUAUACUAGAAAUAUACUAGUAUGCAAGCUUUAUACAGACACUGUAAGCAACUCAGUGCUAAUGACUUUGACAACACUUGCACAUACAGCAUUUACCCCUAACAAGGAAAAACUCAAAAAGCCACGACAGGAGGCAGAAGGUGGAAGUGAAAAGGGGUAUUCAGGCUUUUACUCUGUGUGUAAAGAGAGGUCAGAGGAAGAAAGCAGCAUGAUAUUUUUGCCCAUUGACAGUCCUGAGGACAGCUGUUAAUGACAGAUCGUUUCUGGUGAUGAAUUAAUUAUUCCAUGGAUGUCAGUUGGUCGGAGAUGGAGGCACAACCAUGGACAGGUGAUGUUAACUAAAGGUGGUGAGGAGGGCAGUUACAGAGCUCCAUAGACACUCACCUUUCACUUACAAGAGCUGUGAGGACAGCUCUGUAGGCCAUUUAUUCUUAAUAGGCUUAAACAAUUUGGACAGUUCAAAAUGGAAAUAAAUCUAAUGUCCUUGGAGGGUAUUUUAUUUUCUUGGAAUAAGGCUAAGGCCUUGAUUACUUCAGAUACAUUUAGAUUAAGCAUUUCUGAAAGACAUUUCCACAAAUGUCAAGGUCCGCACCUGUAUGAGGAGGAGGGCACGGCAUGGCUCACAUCAAUGAGCCCCAUUGUGUAGUGAGCUGGAACCCAGGACCCCUGGACCUGAUGCAGUCUGCAGAUCCUUAGACCACCCCAGCCCCCUACCACCACCCAGCCAGGCUCACCCCCAGUGCUCUGCUCCCCCAUGGUGGUGCUCUUCUUCUCUCCCUGGCUCUCAGAGCCACAUUGUUCAGGGCUGAGGAGAGCUCUGGUCUGGCCCUGAUUCCCGUGACUCCCGAGGCAGCUGGAACAGGCCUGCUGCCACUAAAACACCCAUAAAUCUUAUCAGCACCAAGAACAGGGCCCAUCUACUAAUAUACCUACCUAACUAACUAACACAACAAUAUCCUACUGUCUGUUUGCUAGGGGUAGAGACAUUUCACUUUUUCAAAGUUUUUUCUUGAAAGAGUAUUUUAUGAAAAAAAUCAAUAGUACUGAUUGAAUGCUUACUGUAUUAUGAUCAAAAUAAAAAUAAGCCUGACUGCACAUCAAUUAAGGCUAAGAUCACAUGUACACUGAGCAAAAAUAUAAAUGUAACAUAAAAUAUAAAAGAUCCCAGAAAUCUAUAUGCACAAAAAGUUUAUUUCUAUAAAAUGAUGUGCAUAAAUUUGUUUACAUUCCUGUCAGUGAGAAGUUCUCCUUUGCCAAAACAAUCCAUCCAUCCGGCAGAUGUGGCAUAUCAAGAAGCUGAUUAAACAGCAUGAACAUUACGCAGGUGUACAUUGUGCUGGGGAUAAUAAAAGGCCACUCUAAAAUGUGCAAUUUUGUCAUAAUGGUACAGACGUCUCAAGUUUUGAGGGAGCAUUCAAUUGGCAUGCUGACUGCAGGAAUGUCCACCAGAGCUGUUGCCAGAUAAUUUAAUGUUAUUUUCUCUACCAUGAGCUGCCUCCAACAUUGUUUUAAAGAAUUUGUCAGUACGUCCAACCGGCCUCACAACCGCAGACCACAUGUAACCACGCCAGCCCAGGACCUCCACAUCCAGCUUUUUCACCUGCAGGAUCGUCUGAGACCAGCCACCCGGACAACUGAUGAAACUGUGGGUUUGCAAGUUUUUCUGCACAAACUGUCAGAAACCUUCUCAGGGAAGCUCAUCUGCGUGGCCGUCGUCCUCACAAGGGUCUUGACCUGACUGCAGUUUGGUGUCGUAACCGACUUCAGUGGGCAAAUGCUCACCUUCGAUGGCCACAUCGCUGGAGAGGUGUGCUCUUCACGGAUUAAUCCCGGUUUCAACUGUACCGGGCAGAUGGCAGGCGUAUGUAUGGCGGUGUGUGGGCGAGUGGUUUUCUGAUGUCAACGUUGUGAACAGAGAGCCCCAUGGUGGCUGUGGGGUUGUGGUAUGGGCAGGCAUAAGCUACGGACAACAAACACAAUUGCGAAGGAGAUGUGUCACGCUGCAUGAGGCAAAUCGUGGUCACACCAGAUACUGACUGGUUUUCUGAUCCAUGCACCCCUAUCUAGGUAUCUAGGUGUGACCAACAGAUGCAUAUCUGUAUUCCCAGUCAUGUGAAAUCCAUAGAUUAGGGCCUGAUGAAUUUAUUUCAAUUGACUGAUUUCUUUAUAUGAACUGUCAUUUAGUAAAAUCUUUGAAAUUAUUGCAUGUUGCAUUUAUAUUUUUGUUCAGUGUAUAUCUACACUGUAGUUUAGCCAUCCCAUAAUAUUAUUGCAACAAUCUUAAUUAGUUACUCUUUCAAACAUUCACAACAGAGGCACAUCAACUACAACCCAACUGUCACAACCUUGUUUGUAAACCUUAGAACGGCUGAUCGGUGUAAUUUACAUCUGGAAGAAGAUGGUGGUGGUCAAAGUGUGGGAAACCAUCCUAAUGAUGUAAACAUAUGACGACCUCAGACUUUAACUACGUCAGGAACCACUGAGAGUAUGUUUGUGUACGUUUGUGUGUACGUGUGUGUGUACGUGUGUGUGUACGUGUGUGUACAUCACAGGAAGUUGGUGGCACCUUAACUGGGGAGAACGGGUUCAUGGUAAUGACUGGAGCGGAACAAAUGGAAUGGGCUCAAAUACAUCAAACACAUGGCUUCCAUGCCAUUCCCCUCGCUCCGUUCCGACCAUUUAUUAUGAGCCGUCCUCCUGGGGUGUGUGUGUGUGUGUGUGUGUGUGUGUGUGUGUGUGUGUGUGUGUGUGUGUGUGUGUGUGUGUGUGUGUGUGUGAGAAUGUGAGUCAGCAUGAGUGUGUUUGUCAUUGACGCAGGGUGGCAGCAACAAAGUGACUGGCCAUGUGACAUCAUAUCAGUGAGAAAGUGUGUUACAUUUGUCCCCUGCCCACCAUUACAGGGUGAGACCUACAGUAUAGCGACAGCUUGUAUCAAGCAAUUAGGAGAACAAGAUCCUUUGUUUUGGCCGGUUCUCCUCAACUUAACCACUGUACGCUGGGACAGCGGGAAAACGCUGAUCUCUGCUACAAGUGUGCGGAGAACAGAUAAUGAUCUGAUAGUGUUCUCAAGAUCCCUUACAGGCCUCUGACUUUGAAAUUGGUGGGAGGAUAAAUGCAAUAAAUUCACUGGUUGUCAUGGAUACAGAAAUGGCCAUGUUUAUUUUGAACCAAAUAGAGCAGGGUUCCCAACUGGCGGCUGGCAAGGUUCCCAAUUUUAUUUACUCACCUCCCCCCCAAGUUUUCUGAGCCCAAGAAAUAUGUAAUUUUUCAUUUUUACUGUUUCACAAUAAAGACUGUAAAAACACCAGCAAA